Molecule: non-coding RNA, 183 nt
Filed under: Chloroflexota bacterium
Lineage: Bacteria; Bacillati; Chloroflexota
Description: Chloroflexi bacterium (groundwater metagenome) 6S RNA
Rfam family: 6S / SsrS RNA
About the family: E. coli 6S RNA was the first non coding RNA to be sequenced, but its function was unknown until recently.
Source: RNAcentral
AUGUCCCUGCUGUGCCCGUGAUGCCGCACCCCGGUUUUGAGCCAACACUUUUGUGACGGGGGGCGGCCUCUUCAUCGGAAAGCGAUAGGCUGCAAGGUAAGCCAAGGCUGCCCGGCGAAGUAGCUCUCCAACCUGCUUCGGCAGGCACAAAACCCCGCGGACACACGGCAUGGUGGGGCGGAA